Non-coding RNA from Gossypium hirsutum (cotton), 124 nucleotides. The record is from Rfam. NCBI's taxonomy places the organism in Eukaryota, Viridiplantae, Streptophyta, Magnoliopsida, Malvales, Malvaceae.
AAUAUAAGAACGACAAAUCAGAUUUUUCCUCCUAAUUUUAGUCUUUCCUUGUUGAAAAAAAUUCAAAUCCAACUAAAAAUGCUAAAAAUCAGGAGAAAAAAAUCUGAUUUUUCAUUCUCCUAUU